RNAcentral lists this ribosomal RNA (600 nucleotides) under Bacillus licheniformis. RNAcentral's name for it is "bacterial SSU rRNA". It matches the Rfam family "Bacterial small subunit ribosomal RNA", at positions 558 to 1159 of the family's 1533-position model. The record is from RNAcentral. Lineage: Bacteria; Bacillati; Bacillota; Bacilli; Caryophanales; Bacillaceae.
GCGUAAGCGCGCGCAGGCGGUUUCUUAAGUCUGAUGUGAAAGCCCCCGGCUCAACCGGGGAGGGUCAUUGGAAACUGGGGAACUUGAGUGCAGAAGAGGAGAGUGGAAUUCCACGUGUAGCGGUGAAAUGCGUAGAGAUGUGGAGGAACACCAGUGGCGAAGGCGACUCUCUGGUCUGUAACUGACGCUGAGGCGCGAAAGCGUGGGGAGCGAACAGGAUUAGAUACCCUGGUAGUCCACGCCGUAAACGAUGAGUGCUAAGUGUUAGAGGGUUUCCGCCCUUUAGUGCUGCAGCAAACGCAUUAAGCACUCCGCCUGGGGAGUACGGUCGCAAGACUGAAACUCAAAGGAAUUGACGGGGGCCCGCACAAGCGGUGGAGCAUGUGGUUUAAUUCGAAGCAACGCGAAGAACCUUACCAGGUCUUGACAUCCUCUGACAACCCUAGAGAUAGGGCUUCCCCUUCGGGGGCAGAGUGACAGGUGGUGCAUGGUUGUCGUCAGCUCGUGUCGUGAGAUGUUGGGUUAACUCCCGCAACGAGCGCAACCCUUGAUCUUAAUUGCCAGCAUUCAGUUGGGCACUCUAAGGUGACUGCCGGUGAC